UACAGGGGGGGCAAGCGUUGUUCGGAAUUACUGGGCGUAAAGGGUUCGUAGGUGGCCAAUUAAGUCGGACGUGAAAUCCCUCAGCUUAACUGGGGAACUGCGUCUGAUACUGGUUGGCUUGAGUGCAGGAGAGGAAUGCGGAAUUCCAGGUGUAGCGGUGAAAUGCGUAGAUAUCUGGAGGAACACCGGUGGCGAAGGCGGCAUCCUGGACCGGUAUUGACGCUGAGGCGCGAAAGCCAGGGGAGCAAACGGG
This 253-nucleotide ribosomal RNA is filed under the name uncultured bacterium. RNAcentral's name for it is "partial 16S ribosomal RNA". It matches the Rfam family "Bacterial small subunit ribosomal RNA", at positions 524 to 776 of the family's 1533-position model. The record is from RNAcentral.